Molecule: microRNA precursor, 109 nt
Filed under: Pristionchus pacificus
Lineage: Eukaryota; Metazoa; Nematoda; Chromadorea; Rhabditida; Neodiplogasteridae
Description: microRNA ppc-mir-72 precursor
Gene: ppc-mir-72
Rfam family: mir-72 microRNA precursor family (bases 21-90)
Source: miRBase by way of RNAcentral
GCAAUUGGUCGCGUAUCCGAGUGAGGCAAGAUGUUGGCAUAGCUGAUGGUCGAAUUGAAGCAAUUCCGCUCUGCCACAUGUAGCCACGCACGGCCGACCCGCAGUUGCU